GAGGGAUCAGACCUUGUGUAUUUUGUGAGGGAGACCUGCACAUAGCCAGUCACAAUACACACAAUACCAGAUGGACCUACAGCCACAACCAACCACCUGACAGUAAGGUUGACCCUAACACUGACCUGUUGAGGUAGUUGACCCUAACACUGACCUGUUGAGGUAGUUGACCCUAACACUGACCUGUUGAGGUAGUUGACCCUAACACUGACCUGUUGAGGUAGUUGACCCUAU
Molecule: long non-coding RNA, 234 nt
Organism: Coregonus clupeaformis (lake whitefish)
Lineage: Eukaryota; Metazoa; Chordata; Actinopteri; Salmoniformes; Salmonidae
Exons: 3
Source: RefSeq, a predicted model, not a curated record